UUCUACUUUCUAUUUUGUUUUCUAUUUAUAGUUUUGUUUUCUAGCUGAUUUGUGUAAUGUAUUUUCAAUUAGGUCCAUUUCGUGGUCCAUGUAGAGCACUCAAGUAUAAAAAGUUGUGAAGCAUUCAACCCGGAAAGCUCAAGGUUAAUAUUCCUCCAGCAUUAGGAGCUGUUGUGGGUGAGCGUACAAAUCAAUUUGUUGCUGAGUGUGCUUAUUGGGUGAAGGAGAUUUGCCCCCUUGAUGUUUCUAAAUGGAGUGAUAUGCCUGAAGGUAUUUUAGAUCGAUUAUAUGCAAGGAUUAAGGUAUAUAAUCUUGAGUUGCAUGAUUCUAUUCUGUUACAUGGUGUUAUGUCAGAUGGUAUUGUUUGACAGGCCAUUUUUAUUCCUUUAUGCUUGUUUUCUACUAGUUUUUUUUUUUUUUUUUGGUAAUUAUUAGACAAACACUUGCUAUUAAAAGGUUCAUAUCACUAAAUUUAAAUAUUCUCGUAGUCAAAGUACGAAUUGGAUGAAGGUGCACACAUUCACAAAGCAAUAAAGAUUCAAUGCUCCACCCUUUAUAGGCAUUGGAGAGAAAGGUUGAAAGCUGACUAUUUUUCAAAUAGAAAAUCUUUAUAAGAGGCAGAGCGUGCUUGCCCACCUUCAAUAAAACUUGACCAAUGGAAGUGGCUUGUUUAUAACUAUUGGAGCUCUCCUAAGCAGAAGGAAAGGAGUGAGAAGAAUCGGGCAAAUGCUUUUGCAAAGAAGAUCAAGUCGGCAUGUGGUGCGAAAUCAACAGCUCGCAUUAUUUAUGAAUUGGAACUUGAGGCACAAGCUUGUGAGUAUGAGAAUGAGGUCACUGAAAUCAAUGGUUCUUGUUCAAAUGUAACCACCUCAUCCCAAGCUAAUGAUGAUCCCAUGUAUUUAAAGUUAUGGGAGAAGUCAAAUAGGUAUAAAAAUGGGAAGCUUGACGAUGAGGCCGAGGAGAAGUUCAAGGAAUUAAGGGAGUUGCAUGAGAAAGAAAUUGGUGAAAAGGGGAUUGAUAAUCUUACUCUUGAAGAAGCUUAUGUGAAGGUUCGUGGACAUCGUUCAGGUUAUGCCCGAGGUUUAGGCAAAGUGCACCCGGUGUCGUCUAAAUAUGGAAAGAUAGGAAGAGCUGAGCUGGAACAAAAUGUUGAAAAACUACAAUAUGAAAAUAAUAUGAUGCGAGCUGAAUUGGAAGCGUCUAAGAAGAAACAAGAAGACCUAGAACAAAAGCUUCGGUUAGUCAUGGAGAAGAUUGGCCUUGAUGCUUAAUAGAGUUUGCAAUUAGGGGAUCAUGUCAAUGUUUUGGGGAUGGAGGACACCUAAAGGCUGGUUGCAAGGAUGAGAAGAUUGCUUGAUAGACAACUUGGUUAAUACUUUUGUAUAUAUUUGCUAUUAAAUAUUAUUAAAUAUAAUACUUUUGUAUAUACAUAUAAUGACAAAAUUAAA
This is a long non-coding RNA of Chenopodium quinoa (quinoa), 1448 nucleotides long. RefSeq lists it as uncharacterized. The transcript has 5 exons. NCBI's taxonomy places the organism in Eukaryota, Viridiplantae, Streptophyta, Magnoliopsida, Caryophyllales, Amaranthaceae. The record is from RefSeq and is a predicted model, not a curated record.